This 853-nucleotide long non-coding RNA is filed under the name Homo sapiens (human). RNAcentral's name for it is "non-protein coding lnc-BLM-6:2". Lineage: Eukaryota; Metazoa; Chordata; Mammalia; Primates; Hominidae. The record is from RNAcentral.
GUUGCCUUACACACUAUGCAAGCUUUGCUGUUUGCAGUAAAACUGGCUGCUGCUUGCUCUUUGGGUCCACACUGACUUUAUGAGCUGUAGCACUCACCAUGAAGGUUUGUAGCUUUACUCUUGAAGCCAGUGAGAUUAAAAACCCACCGGGAGGAACAAACAACUCCAGUACGCGCCGCCUUAGGAGCUGUAACACUCACGGCGAAGGUCUGCAGCUUCACUCCUGAGCCAGCCGCACCACGAACCUAUCAGAAGGAAGAAACUCCGAACACAUCCGAACGUCAGGAACAAACUCCGGCCACGCCGCCUUUAAGAACUGUAGAACUCGCUACAGCACUCACCGUGAAGGUCUGCGAUUUCAUUCUUGAAGUCAGUGAGACCAAGAACCCACCAAGUCCGGACACAAUGGGACCUGUAUGCAGUCUAUGGGGCAGUUCAGACCAAAGGGCUGGGCGUGGCACCACAGCUGCCCCGAGCCCUUGGCCUCUCUGAGCUUUUCUCUCUCACCUGAGAAAUGGGAUUUCAAGGAAAAUGAGUAGCGGUAACUUACCCACCUUACUCCACGGUUACUGUGAAGCGCCCAGAAGAGAAGCCAUGGAUGUGGGCGACGCAUUCGAGGUUAGCUUCAGAAGCAGCGGGCGCUGGGUAGCCACAUUGACACCCGGUACUAGCGCUUCCUCCUGGGGGUUCCUGGGUCCAAGGGGGUUGUGGCAGUCCUUGCCACAGAGAUGCAGAGUCUGCAAUGUCCAAAUGUGCUUCGUGUGCAGUGGGAGCCUGGCAAGCUGUAACCCUUGUCGUGAUUCACGCGUCCCAGGGACACUUGGGGGCCGCUGUGGGCAACCCCCCACACCCC